This 807-nucleotide long non-coding RNA is filed under the name Ananas comosus (pineapple). Its description in RNAcentral is "long non-coding RNA (ACOM_LNC038270)". The record is from RNAcentral. Lineage: Eukaryota; Viridiplantae; Streptophyta; Magnoliopsida; Poales; Bromeliaceae.
GAGUAAGUAAGUAUCUAUGAACAUCUACAACAGCUAUCAUAGUAAGCUAUAGAACAUGCUACUAGGAAAGCAAGUAAGCUAAUAUGAACAAUGAAUAGCUACUAUGAAUAUCAAUCAUGGGUAAGACUCAAUGGGUAACCCAAUCUCCAAGUGAACACAAGGCCCACAAGCAAGGCUCACAUGUAAACCUCCGAGGGAUGCCUAGCUGGACUAUCCCCGAGUACGCCUGCGGAUAACAAGCGGCUAUCCGAGCAGCAAGCGGGCUGCCUCUCUAGUGACCAACUCCGGAGCGCACAACUUGAGGGGAGCGACCCCACCAAGCGCAGACAGGCAAUGUGAGCAUGAUCAACUCACGAGCAACAACAACCCCUUUGAGGGUAAUAUUAGCAUAGAUCAAUAAGUUCUUGUACCCAAUCUCAUAGUGUCUCAACCACACUAAUAAGAUCAUCUCAAGUAAACAUCAAACAUGUGCCACUCAAUCAUAGUUUUCUAACUAGAUGCCACUCGUCAUUUAGACUCAUCAACAAUGUUAGCUCUUUAACAUUAUAAGUUCUAAUCAUCUCAUAUAGGGUUGAAUUUCAUCAUUAAACUCUAUCAUUUAAUCUCAUACAUACUAGUUUAUAAAUCAUUCAAUCAACAUAUCUAUAUCUACUAGCAUGCAAAUUGAAGCAAUAUAAUUAAUCUUUAACCCUAUAAGAACAUGCACAAUAUGCAACUUGAUCAUAUUUAAACUUAGACAUAAUGAGUAGCCCGAUGACUUCGGGAUGGCACUCCCCCACCUUAGGUGAUGCCGAAAACACUCCGAGA